Molecule: ribosomal RNA, 229 nt
Filed under: uncultured bacterium
Lineage: Bacteria
Description: partial 16S ribosomal RNA
Rfam family: Bacterial small subunit ribosomal RNA
Source: RNAcentral
UCCGUAGGCGGGCUAAUAAGUCAGGGGUGAAAUCCAACAGCUUAACUGUUGAACUGCCUUUGAUACUGUUAGUCUUGAAUUAUAUGAAAGUAGAUAGAAUGUGUAGUGUAGCGGUGAAAUGCUUAGAGAUUACACAGAAUACCGAUUGCGAAGGCAGUCUACUACGUAUAUAUUGACGCUAAUGGACGAAAGCGUGGGGAGCGAACAGGAUUAGAUACCCUGGUAGUCC